CUUGUCAUCAACAGUGACUGCACUGACACAAGGACUCAUGAUUCAUCUCUUCUGUUUAGGUCAUGCUGAAAUUCCCCUGUCAGUGCUUAAACUGAUCAGUAGUCUAGUGGCAGCCUGUCCAUAUCUGGUAGUGACCAUCAUUCUCUGUGUAAUGUUUCAGAGCUCAAGGUCAUCAUGACAGCCAGCAUGUCGUAACUGAGGAAUGAGCUCUGUUUUUGUUUUGUGUUGAUUUGUUUUGUUCACAUGAAAUUUCAUGUUUGUAUUCAGUUCAGUGUACAGUUUAAGUUUUUAUUAAUUAUAAUAAUAUUUUUUUAACACUCAGACUUCAGGGACACAGCAUGCUUUUAUUGUUAUUCUUAGCUUUGCACUUCUUUGACUUACUGGUGGAUAUUCUAGUCCAGAUUAGGGGUCACAACAGUGCAUAUCCUUAUAACUACAUGUCAUAUCUUAAUGGCUAAGGUGCUGUGCUACUGCAGGUUGUGGGUUCAAAUCCCAGGUCCACCAAGUUACCACUGCUGGGUCCCUGAGCAAAGCCCUUAACCCUCAAUUACUAAGUUGUAUAAAA
Tachysurus fulvidraco (yellow catfish) is the source of this 565-nucleotide long non-coding RNA. RefSeq lists it as uncharacterized. NCBI's taxonomy places the organism in Eukaryota, Metazoa, Chordata, Actinopteri, Siluriformes, Bagridae. The record is from RefSeq and is a predicted model, not a curated record. The transcript has 3 exons.